GUGGCUACAACGAAUAUAGGUUGCAUUUGUUAGCAGUACAAUGCAUCCCUGCACAGCCACAUACAUUAACAAGAUGGUUCCUGCCGACAGCAUCUGUCUAGUUAUCAGAUUUUCUGUGCGAUGGUUCCAUACAUU
This is a non-coding RNA of Eublepharis macularius, 135 nucleotides long. The record is from RefSeq and is a predicted model, not a curated record. Lineage: Eukaryota; Metazoa; Chordata; Lepidosauria; Squamata; Eublepharidae.